CUCGGACCUGGCGGGCCGGGUGACGUCGAACCGGUCGGCGUCCGGCCCGUGUGCGGCCGGGUCGCGUCCGGCGGCCGAGU
This 80-nucleotide transfer RNA is filed under the name Streptomyces avermitilis. RNAcentral describes it as "tRNA-Ala". Lineage: Bacteria; Bacillati; Actinomycetota; Actinomycetes; Kitasatosporales; Streptomycetaceae. The record is from RNAcentral.